AUUUGUUGUGGGAACGUAUAAAUACAGGAACGAUGAUCAAGCGGAAUCAGACACCAGUAGCGCAUUGAAAAUACAGCAAAACAAAUUCUGAAAACACGGUCAAAUUAGUUGGAUAUAAUAUUUUCAUCAUUCUGUUCAAAUCAUCACUCGACUGAAAAAGCCGACAUAUUAACAUCGGAAUAUACAUAAUGCAGCAGACACUUUAUCUAGCCGUGUUCCUAGCUUUGUGUGCCUUUGCAAUGAGUCAGGGCCAGCUCCGUAUGAUGCCCUGGAGUCCUCUCCCGCCACCUAUGGUCCCUGGGAUCAAUCUGCCCCUGAUACAUAUUAGCCCCGCACCGUGGCAUCGAGGCGGUGCGUGGACAAGGGACAAUAUUUUCGGGAGCCCAUUGUUUCCAGGAGGAAUGGCCAGUGGUCAGAUGUGGCCAACAGGUCCGUUCUUGGGUCAGCAG
Molecule: long non-coding RNA, 449 nt
Organism: Dreissena polymorpha
Lineage: Eukaryota; Metazoa; Mollusca; Bivalvia; Myida; Dreissenidae
Exons: 3
Source: RefSeq, a predicted model, not a curated record